Molecule: long non-coding RNA, 1144 nt
Organism: Mangifera indica (mango)
Lineage: Eukaryota; Viridiplantae; Streptophyta; Magnoliopsida; Sapindales; Anacardiaceae
Exons: 2
Source: RefSeq, a predicted model, not a curated record
UUUUGUUGGAUCUACAAUAGUUUUGUCAAAUAUCAGGGUCUAAUUAGGAAGCACAGGUAGCGGAUUCUAAUAACUAGUGUUUUUCAACCCAGAAAGGCUCCGACUGCCUCUUUCAAGCUCGGAUACGACACGAGAACAAAUAAAAGGAAAAAAGAGUGAGAGAAGAAUCCAGAAACAGAUUGCUCAAUGGUCAGCCUUGACUUCAUUUCUUCUCUAUUUUUUUUUUAACUUUUAUUUCCACAAUCAUUUCAUUUAUUAUUACCUGAAUAGUGAAAUGGGAAAAAUAUCAUAGGUUAUGUUUAUCUAUUGUUCUGGUUUCUUAGGUCAAUUGGGCAAUGGGGUUUCGUUCUUUUUCCGAAAUUUGUGAAACUGUUGAAAAAGUUUCUGCAUUUUGGAGUAAUGUAAAUAGUCAGCGAAAGGGUAUUUGUAAUUCUGCAAAAGUUGGAAUCCUUUAUUGGGGAUGCUUGGAAACAAGAUUUCUGGAGCAGAAGGAGGCUAUUAGGGCAACUGGGUUCGCUGAUUCAAUUGUGCGAGGAAAUUUUUUUGGAGAUUUAAGGGAAAUUCUGUACAGUUAAGACCAUUCUUUGGAAGCAGUGAGGGUAAUGGGGGUCAGUUGGAUAGAGAUUUUCUUGCACAGUUAAUGGAUUGCUGAUAGGAAAUUUGAGAAGUCUAGAUAAAAAAGAAGAAGAAAAGUUGUUAAGAGUAAGAAUUAUGGUAAAAAGGUUCAUGAAGCUGGGCCGCAAGGAAGAUGGUAUUCAGGUUCUGCGUCCCAGAAGCAAAUUCUUAUGAGCAGGGUAAACCAGUUCUGCAUCAACCUGCUGUCAGUCAGUCUAUCACUGGCUUUUUCAAACCUGUGUGCUCAGAGGAGGUGCCUUUGUUGGUAGUUUGAUAGGUUCUAAUUCACCUGAGUUGCCAGACCAAUGCUAAUGUGAUAUGAACCUGCUGUUGCUGCCGAAGAUUGCUGCUGGAUGUUCCUGCUAUUUCUUGCUCAAGUGCUAGUGUUGCUGUGUUUAUGCUCAAGAACAAAAAUAAUAGAAGGACUAGGAUAAAAUGUAUUCUGUACUCAUUGAAAUUGUAAAUACUCAAUGCAGCAGUGUAAUGGAAAGUUUCUUAUAUUAGUAGAUGAAGUUCAGAAUUACAGUAA